This 379-nucleotide ribosomal RNA is filed under the name uncultured eukaryote. RNAcentral describes it as "partial 18S ribosomal RNA". It matches the Rfam family "Eukaryotic small subunit ribosomal RNA", at positions 592 to 976 of the family's 1831-position model. The record is from RNAcentral.
CAAUAGCGUAUAUUUAAGUUGUUGCAGUUAAAAAGCUCGUAGUUGGAUUUCGGAUGGGACUUGCCGGUCCGUCGUUUCGAUGUGCACUGGCCAGUCCUCUCUUGUUGUCGGGGACUAGCUCCUGGGCUUCACUGUCCGGGACUAGGAGCUGACGAGGUUACUUUGAGUAAAUUAGAGUGUUCAAAGCAAGCCUACGCUCUGAAUACAUUAGCAUGGAAUAACACGAUAGGACUCUGGCUUAUCUUGUUGGUCUGUGAGACCAGAGUAAUGAUUAAGAGGGACAGUCGGGGGCAUUCGUAUUUCAUUGUCAGAGGUGAAAUUCUUGGAUUUAUGAAAGACGAACUUCUGCGAAAGCAUUUGUCAAGGAUGUUUUCAUUAA